CAGUAGCCGCGGUAAUACGUAGGUGGCAAGCGUUGUCCGGAAUUAUUGGGCGUAAAGGGCUCGCAGGCGGUUUCUUAAGCCCGAUGUGAAAGCCCCCGGCUCAACCGGGGAGGGUCAUUGGAAACUGGGAAACUUGAGUGCAGAAGAGGAGAGUGGAAUUCCACGUGUAGCGGUGAAAUGCGUAGAGAUGUGGAGGAACACCAGUGGCGAAGGCGACUCUCUGGUCUGUAACUGACGCUGAGGAGCGAAAGCGUGGGGAGCGAACAGGAUUAGAUACCCCCGUAGUCCCUGUCUCUUAUAC
This 301-nucleotide ribosomal RNA is filed under the name uncultured bacterium. RNAcentral describes it as "partial 16S ribosomal RNA". It matches the Rfam family "Bacterial small subunit ribosomal RNA", at positions 509 to 807 of the family's 1533-position model. The record is from RNAcentral.